Molecule: ribosomal RNA, 116 nt
Filed under: Bacillus subtilis
Lineage: Bacteria; Bacillati; Bacillota; Bacilli; Caryophanales; Bacillaceae
Source: RNAcentral
UUUGGUGGCGAUAGCGAAGAGGUCACACCCGUUCCCAUACCGAACACGGAAGUUAAGCUCUUCAGCGCCGAUUGUAGUCGGGGGUUUCCCCCUGUGAGAGUAGGACGCCGCCAAGC